This 297-nucleotide RNase P RNA is filed under the name Bacteroidales bacterium. Its description in RNAcentral is "partial RNase P RNA component class A". It matches the Rfam family "Bacterial RNase P class A". Rfam says of the family: Ribonuclease P (RNase P) is a ubiquitous endoribonuclease, found in archaea, bacteria and eukarya as well as chloroplasts and mitochondria. Its best characterised activity is the generation of mature 5'-ends of tRNAs by cleaving the 5'-leader elements of precursor-tRNAs. Cellular RNase Ps are ribonucleoproteins. The record is from RNAcentral. Lineage: Bacteria; Pseudomonadati; Bacteroidota; Bacteroidia; Bacteroidales.
UCUGCCGCCCGUAAGGGAGGAAAGUCCGGACAGGACAGGGCGAUCCGCUGCGGAAAGCGCAGAAGGGGGUAACCUCUUGUAUGCCGUAACAGAAAACGACCGGCCUUUAGGCCAAGGGUGAAAACGCGAGGCAAGAGCUCACGACGUGCUGUGGCGACACAGUGCGGGUACGGCACCGGGACCUGCAAGACCAAAUAUACUGGCAGAUGAGGGCUGCCCGUCCGAUGCCAGGGGGUAGGUUGCGAAGAUAAAUGGCAGAAUUAAAAACAGAAACCGGCUUACGGCUCCUCCUUUUUU